GACGAACGCUGGCGGCGUGCUUAACACAUGCAAGUCGAGCGGUAAGGCCCUUUCGGGGGUACACGAGCGGCGAACGGGUGAGUAACACGUGGGUGACCUGCCCUCAGCUCUGGGAUAAGCCUGGGAAACCGGGUCUAAUACUGGAUAUGACUCCAUGACGCAUGUUGGUGGGGUGGAAAGCCUUGUGCGGCUGAGGAUGGGCCCGCGGCCUAUCAGCUUGUUGGUGGGGUGANGGCCUACCAAGGCGACGACGGGUAGCCGGCCUGAGAGGGCGACCGGCCACACUGGGACUGAGACACGGCCCAGACUCCUACGGGAGGCAGCAGUGAGGAAUAUUGGUCAAUGGGCCGAAAGGCUGAACCAGCAACGCCGCGUGAGGGAUGAAGAUCUAAGGAUCGUAAACCUCUGUUAGAAGGGACGAA
Molecule: ribosomal RNA, 422 nt
Filed under: uncultured bacterium
Lineage: Bacteria
Description: bacterial SSU rRNA
Rfam family: Bacterial small subunit ribosomal RNA
Source: RNAcentral